CCUACGGGCGGCUGCAGUGGGGAAUAUUGCACAAUGGGCGCAAGCCUGAUGCAGCCAUGCCGCGUGUGUGAAGAAGGCCUUCGGGUUGUAAAGCACUUUCAGCGGGGAGGAAGGCGGUGAGGUUAAUAACCUCACCGAUUGACGUUACCCGCAGAAGAAGCACCGGCUAACUCCGUGCCAGCAGCCGCGGUAAUACGGAGGGUGCAAGCGUUAAUCGGAAUUACUGGGCGUAAAGCGCACGCAGGCGGUCUGUCAAGUCGGAUGUGAAAUCCCCGGGCUCAACCUGGGAACUGCAUUCGAAACUGGCAGGCUAGAGUCUUGUAGAGGGGGGUAGAAUUCCAGGUGUAGCGGUGAAAUGCGUAGAGAUCUGGAGGAAUACCGGUGGCGAAGGCGGCCCCCUGGACAAAGACUGACGCUCAGGUGCGAAAGCGUGGGGAGCAAACAGGAUUAGAUACCCCUGUAGUC
This 465-nucleotide ribosomal RNA is filed under the name uncultured Klebsiella sp. RNAcentral describes it as "bacterial SSU rRNA". It matches the Rfam family "Bacterial small subunit ribosomal RNA", at positions 338 to 795 of the family's 1533-position model. Lineage: Bacteria; Pseudomonadati; Pseudomonadota; Gammaproteobacteria; Enterobacterales; Enterobacteriaceae. The record is from RNAcentral.